This is a long non-coding RNA of Homo sapiens (human), 2390 nucleotides long. Ensembl annotates it as SCN1A and SCN9A antisense RNA 1. Its record names the gene SCN1A-AS1. The record is from Ensembl. NCBI's taxonomy places the organism in Eukaryota, Metazoa, Chordata, Mammalia, Primates, Hominidae.
CGCAGCCGCGGUUCCCGCCCGCGCCUCUCCCUCCACACCUCCCCGCAAGCAGAGGGAGCCGGCUCCGGCCUUGGCCAGCCCAGAGACAGGCUCCCACAGUGCAGCGGCGGGCUGAAGGGCUCCUCAAGCACUGCCAGAGUGGACACCGAGGCCGAGGAGACGCCAAGAGCGAAAAUUUUUGUUUUCCAUGACUGCAAGAAAUACUGCUGAACAAGACAUUUCUUCAUCAUCCUUGAUGAAAGAUGAACAUUAAUAAUGCAGAUAGAAAUCAGGCCAAGUAAUGUUGAAGAGAAAACAAGGUCCAGUAGCACUACUUCCUUUUAGAAGAUAAGAAUAAACAGAUUUAAAAUGGCAAGCUCAAUAAUUUUACCCUAACAAAAAAUGAGGGACUUUCUGGUCUCCAUAUUCUCAUAAAUAAAAGUUGCAUUCCAUGAGGAGAAAACAAAAAAACCCAUCACAGUGAACAAUUGAAUUGCUCCGUGGACAUCAUGCCUUUCUAAGCAAGCAUUGAAUAUAGGAGAUGUAUUUAUGAUAACCAGAGACAGAUGAAACAAGCUUCUGGUUCAAGAGUUUCUUCAGGUUCCACUACGGGCUGUUCUUCUACAGGUGCGCCGAUGUCCACAGUGCUACCUUCUGAUGAGCUACUGCUUUCAUUCAGUUUCUGCUGACUUAAUAUGUGAGCUGACAGAAUGCAGAGACCACGUUGUAUAUGAAGCAUCCACUUUGCCUUGUACACCAGGGCAUUCAAUAACCACUUAAUAACUACAACCCUGAUGAUCCGAUUCACUACUAAAGUCUUCCGUGUUUAAAUUUUCAAAGUCAGAUUCUCCUACAGCAAUUGAAUAGAGACCUCACAUCCUCAACAGAGUUUGAGAAGCACUGCUCCAAGUCUCACCUCUGCCUGCAUUCCCUCUAUCAUCUUUGAAGGAGUAUGAGUCCAGAAAACAGAUAGAGCUUUACCACAAAGCGCAUUUGAAGGAAGGGAGAAUUUCACCUGUGCUUACUAGAAGAACAAUCCCCUAUGCCAACAAUACUUAGCCCUCUUUUUCUCUGAUUCAUUGAGGGAUUCUGUCCCUGAAUGACAUUGUGAGAUCAUCGUAAAUCUGAACAGACUUGUGCAAUGCAAAUGCCUUUGCUGUGGGGGAAUAUGAGCAUGUAACGACACAGAAAGGCCCAAAGUGAGCUAGCUCAGGAAUAAAUAUGGUCCACCUUUCAAAUGUACUGCAUAUACUUCCUUUCCCCCCAGAUAUGCUGAGUAAAAUCUGAAAGAAAUAUUAGGGGCUCAGAUGGCCAGUCGCAGUGGCUCACGUCUGUAAUCCCAGCACUUUGGGAGGCCAAAGUGGGCACAUCACCUGAGGUCAGAAGUUUGAGACCAGCCUGGCCAACAUGGUGAAACCCCAUCUCUACUAAAAACACACAAAAAAAUUAGCUGGGCCUGGUGGUGGGUCCCUGUAAUCCCAGUUGCUUGGGAGGCUGAGGCAGGAGAACAGGAGAAUCGCUUGAACCCAGGAGGCGGAGGUUGCAGUGAGCCAAGAUCGCGCCACUGCACUCCAGCCUGGGUGAUGAGAGCAAAACUCCAUCUGAAAAAAAGAAAAAGAAAUAUUAGGGGCACAGGUAGGAGAACCAGUAAAAAUAUAACACAGAAUAUAUAUAUUUUAAAAUAAGAAUCUCUUGAUUUCAGAUAAUAUUAAAAGCUAAUUUUGAAACAAAUAGUAGUGAUACAAAGAGAUAAUGAGAAAGAAAUGACAAUCCAUAGAUGGCCUAAAUCAUGGGCUGGAGUGUGAGGAUAAUCAAGAUGGUACUGUUUGUACCUCCGUGGAUAAGGAAAAUAACCAGGCUCAUCCUAAGGAGACAGGACCAUACUUAGAAGAGAACACCUGUGAUGCUGGCUCCUUGGCCACUGUUCAGCCCAAACCAUGACCAGAGGUAAUAAAUGACCAAAACAGAAAAGACAGACAAGGAGUGGUAAAGUAAAAGGCAAAGCUAGAGAUCUAAAAGAAGGGAGGGGAAAUAUUUCUGCCCUGAGUACUAAAAAGUAAAAGAGGCAAGAUUCAGAAACCAAACACAAAAGGUUCCAAAAAGGAAGUCUGCCUAGAAGUAAAAAGAGCAGAGGAUUCUAGACAAAAAUCGGGGAAAGGUGGGGACAGAGAGAAAUCUGUUAAAGGACACAAAAUUACAACUAGAUAGGAGGAACACAUUCUAGCUCUCCACACCACUGUAGGAUGACUACAGUUAAAAAUAAUUUAUUAUAUAGUUUCAAAUAGCUGGAAGGAAGAUAUUGAAUGUUCCCAACACAAAAAAUGAUAAAUGUUUGAGAUGACGGAUAUGCUAAUUAUUCUGAUCUGAUCACUAUACAUCAUAUGUAUUAAAACCACUAUAUGCUUCAUAAA